Molecule: non-coding RNA, 2972 nt
Organism: Camellia sinensis
Lineage: Eukaryota; Viridiplantae; Streptophyta; Magnoliopsida; Ericales; Theaceae
Source: RefSeq, a predicted model, not a curated record
AUAAUAAAACAAUAAUGUCUAUUCUCUUGGUUACAUAUUUCAAGAGAGAGAGAGAGAGAGAAGACGAAGAGUUGAGGAGUCGCUAUCCUCGCUGCCCUGUCCCCUGCACGUCCGCCGCUACCGCCGAGGAGUGGUUGAGUUCGGAUUCAAGAAGUUGGUAUUCAUUCAACAUAUUCAAUAGGUUCAUGCUCCAAACUUAAAAUAUUAGGGUUUUUAAUUCAAAAAUUAGGAUUUUCUAUGCUUUGAUUUGAGGCUUUUUACUUGAUUUAUUUCAAAUCUAUUAUUGGGUUAAAAAUUAGGGUUUUGAUUUUGGGGUUUUUGCAUGAUAUUGAGAGCUCUCUCACAUGUCUCUUGUUAUUGAAACUAGGGUUUUGUUUGAAGGAUUUCAAUUGAACCAAUAAAUAAAUAAUAAUUUGAUUUGGGAAUUCCAAUUGAAAAAAGGGCUUUGAUUUUAGGGUGGAGUUAAUACUGCUAUUGAUGGAUUCUUAUCCAAUUAGAUUUUAUUAAUGUCAUUUAUAUAACCAUGAAUUGUUUAGUUGAUAGUGACAGUAGCAGAGGUAAUCUUGAUGAUGUGGGUGACGAUAUUUUUGAACACUACUUAAUGAACUUAUCCUGAUCUUCUCUGUUUCUUUUUAAUUUUUCCAAAUGUUCAUCCCUCUCUUUUUAAUAAAUUAUUCAAGGAUCUUUCUUCUUCUUCUUUUUGGCUGGCGUUUAUGUCUUUUCCUUGUCAUUAGCAGUUGGUAUCUUUACUAUUUUGGCACUUAAUAUGUGCCUAGGUUUUUCCAGAUUUGCAUGCAAAGGAUACUAUAUUUGUUCUUAUUUGUGCUUCUAUAUUGGAAUGAAUUGUACAUAAUUUAUUAUAUCUGUAGACACAGCCCUUUUAAUUUUAUUUCUAUCUCAUUCACAUGCCCUCUUUGUAAGGCAGAAUUGGUUAUUGGAGACACAAGAUUUUGAUGUUGACCUGUUUCCCAAUCUUUCUUUUCCACCUACGUCACAGAUAUGAAAUUCUACUCCAUAACUAAUAAGCAAUGAAUGACCAGUUAUUGUUUUAUUGUUCACAGCAUUGACCCUCAACACUUGGAAAAAGUAGAAAUAAUGUGGUGAUUUGGAAUUUUAGUUUUAGUUUAUAAAGUGUUAAUGGGGAAUGGAUGAAAAAAGUUUUUUCAUUUUUUUUUUUAUAGUUCAUAACACACCUGACUGUACAAUGAGUAGUUUUUCCUACUGAUUGAACUUUCUUGAGUGUUACAAUUAUUAAGGCAUCUCUGUUAAUUAAGUGAGUAUUUUUAGUAGCUAAAUCAUGUGACUUAAGUUAGUUACAUUUGUAGUGGCACUUUGUGCAAGACAACCAGUAGUUUUGGAAUGAUCUUUAUAAUUUGAGGAGCCAUCUUCUUAGAAGUUUCUGAUGACACUGCAUAUUCCAUUUGGUGAUUGAUGUUGCAAGAUUACUUAACAUUUAGAAGUUCAAUAAGUUUUGAUUAUUCAGAGUGUUACUCUAUUUUCUUUUUCCAUAUUAUUCAGUAAUUCUCAUUAGUUUGCUGAUGUUAUUUGCUAUGUUCUUGGAAUCAUGAUUGGUACUGCUAUAAUAAAGAUGUAGAGAAAAGAACUAAAGUUUAAAAAGAAGCAAGUAAAACAUGUAAAGAAGUUGCUAAGUUUGAAAUAUGUCGUAAUGAUAUACUACAACAAGAACUAUGUUGCUUAAGGCAUGAUUUUGUUCAAUUUUCACAUUGCCUGGAUGUACUAAAUAACCGUUUCUCACAUCGAGGUGAAGGUAGUGAUGACCUAGAAAAGGUUGGUUUCUCUCUCUCUCUCUAAUUGUUUAAACUAUCUGAACAUGCUUAACUUGAAUUACAUGUUUGUUGGUUAUUUGAUAAGUACGAUGGCAUUUACUUAUCAAUAAUAGUCUAUACCAUACAGGUUUCUAGUGUUCGUCAUUGGACUAUAUUUUGGUUGAGUUUACUCAGAAGCAACUUAACUGAAGUACAUAGGUAUUUGAGUGAUGGCUGUUUGGGUUAUUAAUCUAAUGGGUGAGUAAUCCAAUUAGAGCUUAUGUGUCUAUAAUUCAUCGCGGACUUGCUUGUAUAUAUGUAUUUUAUUAAAUGUAUUAAGAGAUAGUUGUUUGGUUGAAGAUUAUAAAUAAUGCUAUUCAUAAGUAGUUGUUGUCAGUCAAUUUGUGCAGCCUAAGACUAUAUAGUUUCAAAUUUAAAUACUUAUGUGUUGAGUACUUGUUCAUCCUAUUUUCUAUUUUCUUUGCAAGUGAUUUGUUUUCGAUAUCUUAUGCUUUUUUCCCCCCUUCUUGAACCAGAGCAUACACAAGUUUUUCCUCCAUGCUUUGUUGUUGUGUUGCUACGAGAGCUUGCAAGAGUAACUAUACCACCUGAAAGAAUCUAUGGUUUGGGAACUAGGUGAGAACAUUUUUAAGUAUAUAUAUAUAUAUAUAUUGUGUGUUAUUACAAAUGAAAAUUACUCUGGUUGGUCUUUUAAGCACCCCUCUCAAAUUUCAGAUAAUCAAAUUAUUUAAACUAUUCUUAUUUAUAUCACCAAACAAUCUAACACAAUCUCUUUUUUCUUUUUGAUUUUUUAUGCUUAUUUGUUUUCCUAUAUGUUUUUGAUGAGAACAAACAAUGAGUCGGAGUUUUCUUUGAUCAUCGCCACACUCUGGAUAACCAGUCAAUCGCUUCGAUUGUCUUUUUGAAAAUCCGAGCAUUUCGAGAUGCAACCAUGUUGAGUACAUGAUGAUAUCUUCGCAUAUCGAUAUUGGAGUUUACUAUUUAUAUCAAAACAAGUUAUAUAAUGCAUAUGUUUUUUUAUUUAUUUAUUUGUAUUGUCGAUACUUUUGUUUUGUUUUAGAUACAAAAAUUUGAGUUAUUGAAUAUCAAAAAUUAUUAGGAUUGUUAGAGGAUGUUUUAUAUUUUUUUGUAAAGAAUAUUAGGUUGACAAUUGUUACAAGGUACAAAUAUAUAUUAUUCUUGGUA